ACAAGGAUUCCCCUAGUAACGGCGAGCGAAGCGGGAACAGCUCGAGCCUGAAAUCCCUGGCAGGUACUGCCAGAGAAUUGUGGCCGGGAGAGGCGGUGGUGCCCCUACUGUUGCUGUCAAAGUUGACCUGGAAAGGCAUGUCAGAGAGGGUGAGAGCCCCGUGCUUGACACCGACGGGAAGGGCCGUAAUCGUCUUCGGAGAGUCGGGUUGUUUGGGAAUGCAGCCCAAAGUGGGUGGUAAACUCCAUCUAAAGCUAAAUACUGGCACGAGACCGAUAGCGAACAAUUACCAUGAGGGAAAGGUGAAAAGUACUUUGAAAAGAGAGUCAAAAAGACC
This 337-nucleotide ribosomal RNA is filed under the name Cliona aff. celata JRX-2009. RNAcentral's name for it is "eukaryotic LSU rRNA". It matches the Rfam family "Eukaryotic large subunit ribosomal RNA", at positions 68 to 398 of the family's 3401-position model. The record is from RNAcentral. Lineage: Eukaryota; Metazoa; Porifera; Demospongiae; Clionaida; Clionaidae.